AAACGCGGAGCUGCGGCGUGGGGUUCAGGCCGCCCCGUCCGCGCGGUGAGUUCUUCCCAGUGGUCUGCUGAUGAGGAGCCUCCUACACUCUUGGUUCCUGUGGGUCCAAGACGGGACAAUGGAGAAAUAAGCCAUCCUGGUGCUCCUACUGGCAGUGAUGAUGGUGGCCAGCGUGGAUGGUGAAGAUCUGGAUGACAGUGUAGUGGCAAAAAUGAUGGUGGGAUUCGCCCAAAUGAUGAACCUAACUUCUGUAACGGUUUGCCUACCUACCCCCAAGUCAGCUGAAGACCCUCUACUGAUUUUUGUGCAGGACAUCAAUAUAUCGCUAGCCCUUGAGCUCACAUGGGAGCAAUUUAACAGUUAUAGCUGGAGGUUCAAAGAGGGCGGGGGAGGAGGCUAUACUUAUAUUGUCUAUAGUUGGUCACCAGGUGCGGUAAAUGCUAGUUCGGUAUAGAACACCAGAUGUAAUUAUAUUCUCCAACCUACUCAUGAGGCCAUGGGGUGGAGCUGGAAUGGUACUACACCAUGCCCCGAAAUUCCAUGGGGGACUACCAAAUAUAGUACUCGAUGGAACACUAAUGACCAUUCUCUACAAUACACAAAGCCAUUAAACACCUCAUGGUGUAUCAAACACCCUGAACGGGAUAACAGUGAAUGUCCCAGUACAUGUAACCGAAACUCAUUUGACUGCCCCUCAAUUGCAUGUGGGCUAGACACACCUGUGGACCUAGCUGAUAUGGAGAAAAAGAAAAAAUAAUACUGGCAGGGAAAUCUCUGCUCUGGAACUGUCAGGUGGAAAUUGGGUGCAAGGAUAAAAUGCCAUUACUGUGGCUAUAACCUCCCAUCCAAGAAGCUCUGAUACAAGGCUGUCCGUGUAGCAAUACUAGCUACUCACAACCUUCUGUCCUGAACUGGAGCAAGAGAGACUACUGUCGUCGCCUUACUACCAUACCAGGUUCAUGUCAAACAUCCAGUGUCUCUGCACGCCCUAACUUAGUGUGGGCAUGUUCUGAUGGCCACCUAUAUUCCCGACUAUAUCCAACCAUCCUGGGACUAGCCUGCACAUUAGCUGUGCUUUCUCUCUGUCCUGUUAAUUGGGAAGAACCCAUGCCAUACAAGUGGAGGGAUCGUAGGCCAAGGGAUUUACAGAAGGGAUGGCAGGAAGCCUCAACACCAGUCGGAUGGUGGAUGGAAUCAAUAUUUGGGCUAGGAAUUGCUCUGGUAUGAAACCGACAGAGCAUUCUAGAACUGGGUCUACAGCUAUCAGCCUUAGCCAAUGCUAUGUCUGACAGUUUGGGGCUCUUGAACGAUCAGUUACAACAUAUGAGUAAAAUGACCAUCCAAACCCGAGCCAUACUGGAUUUGAUGCUACUAAAGGAGAAAGGUGUAUGAAGAGUUUUGAACAUGUCAGUGGAUGACUGCUGUGUCCACAUUCCAAAUGUAUCAGUGCUGCUUCAGGACCAAAUCAACAAAAUGAAGAAAGCAGCAAAAGACUCAGAUGCAAAUGUUGCUGCACUAGGGACUAAUUGGCUGGGAAAGGUUUUUGGUAUGUUUGGAUUUUCUUUGUCAAGAUGGAUAACCAGCCUCUUCCAAUCUUUAACAAUGAUUGUAGUUAUGAUUAUUGUAAUCUGUAUUACAAUAAACUUUAUUAAACGCGCGGUAGUGAAA
Molecule: long non-coding RNA, 1668 nt
Organism: Aquila chrysaetos chrysaetos
Lineage: Eukaryota; Metazoa; Chordata; Aves; Accipitriformes; Accipitridae
Exons: 2
Source: RefSeq, a predicted model, not a curated record